UACGUAGGGUGCGAGCGUUAAUCGGAAUUACUGGGCGUAAAGCGUGCGCAGGCGGUUUUGUAAGCCAGAUGUGAAAUCCCCGGGCUCAACCUGGGAAUGGCAUUUGGGACUGCAAGGCUGGAGUUUGGCAGAGGAGACUGGAAUUCCUGGUGUAGCAGUGAAAUGCGUAGAUAUCAGGAGGAAUACCAGUGGCGAAGGCGGCGUCCUGGACCGGCACUGACGCUGAGGAGCGAAAGCGUGGGGAGCGAUCCGG
RNAcentral lists this ribosomal RNA (253 nucleotides) under uncultured bacterium. RNAcentral describes it as "partial 16S ribosomal RNA". It matches the Rfam family "Bacterial small subunit ribosomal RNA", at positions 524 to 776 of the family's 1533-position model. The record is from RNAcentral.